AAUGAACGCUGGCGGCGCGCCUAAUACAUGCAAGUCGAGCGAGAAGACGUAGCAAUACGUUUGUAAAGCGGCGAACGGGUGAGGAAUACAUGGGUAACCUACCCUUGAGUGGGGAAUAACUAGCCGAAAGGUUAGCUAAUACCGCGUACGCUUCUUGGACUUCGGUUCAGGGAGGAAAGCGAUGCCGAGGGUAUCGCGCCCUUGGAUGGGCUCAUGUCCUAUCAGCUUGUUGGUGAGGUAACGGCUCACCAAGGCUUCGACGGGUAGCUGGUCUGAGAGGACGAUCAGCCACACUGGCACUGCGACACGGGCCAGACUCCUACGGGAGGCAGCAGUAAGGAAUAUUGCGCAAUGGGCGAAAGCCUGACGCAGCGACGCCGCGUGGGGGAUGAAGGUCUUCGGAUUGUAAACCCCUUUCGGAGGAGAUGGAAUGGGUACCAUUCGACGUACCUCCAGAAGCAGCCACGGCUAACUUCGUGCCAGCAGCCGCUGU
Molecule: ribosomal RNA, 493 nt
Filed under: uncultured bacterium
Lineage: Bacteria
Description: bacterial SSU rRNA
Rfam family: Bacterial small subunit ribosomal RNA
Source: RNAcentral